UGGCACUGGAAACUAUACCUGCAUGUAUGGAAAUCAGAAUCCAAGAGAUGUGAAAAACAUCAGCCAUGGUCCUCCGAUUUACCUGAAUGUACAAGUGAAUAGGAGUGAUACUGGAAACUACACCUGUGUGUAUGGAAAAGAGACGAUUGUAAACUCAGCAAACAACAAACGCAGUCGCCCAGUCUACCUUGAUGUGACAGAAUGCUUGACCAGUCCAACCACAUCCUGCAAGACCCAAUAAAACAAUUCAACAGGC
Molecule: long non-coding RNA, 256 nt
Organism: Acipenser ruthenus (sterlet)
Lineage: Eukaryota; Metazoa; Chordata; Actinopteri; Acipenseriformes; Acipenseridae
Exons: 3
Source: RefSeq, a predicted model, not a curated record